RNAcentral lists this ribosomal RNA (543 nucleotides) under uncultured archaeon. Its description in RNAcentral is "bacterial SSU rRNA". It matches the Rfam family "Archaeal small subunit ribosomal RNA", at positions 457 to 997 of the family's 1478-position model. The record is from RNAcentral.
GUCAGCAGCCGCGGUAACACCGGCGGCCCGAGUGGUGAUCGUGAUUAUUGGGUCUAAAGGGUCCGUAGCCGGUUUGGUCAGUCCUCCGGGAAAUCUGAUAGCUCAACUAUUAGGCGUUUCGGGGGAUACUGCCAGACUUGGAACCGGGAGAGGUAAGAGGUACUACAGGGGUAGGAGUGAAAUCUUGUAAUCCCUGUGGGACCACCUGUGGCGAAGGCGUCUUACCAGAACGGGUUCGACGGUGAGGGACGAAAGCUGGGGGCACGAACCGGAUUAGAUACCCGGGUAGUCCCAGCCGUAAACGAUGCUCGCUAGGUGUCAGGCAUGGCGCGACCGUGUCUGGUGCCGCAGGGAAGCCGUGAAGCGAGCCACCUGGGAAGUACGGCCGCAAGGCUGAAACUUAAAGGAAUUGGCGGGGGAGCACAACAACGGGUGGAGCCUGCGGUUUAAUUGGACUCAACGCCGGACAACUCACCGGGGCGACAGCAAUAUGUAGGCCAAGCUGAAGACUUUGCCUGAAUCGCUGAGAGGAGUGGUGCAUGG